UCUGGGGCACUUAACCACUGAGCCCCAUCCCCAGCUCUUUUUAAUAUUUUAUUUAGAGACAGGGUUUCACAGAGUUGCUUAGGGCCUCACUAAGUGGCUGAUGCUGCCUCAGACUUGUGAUUCUCCUGCCCCAGCCUCCAGAGUUGGUGGAAUUACCACCUUUAACUUUUGAUUAUUUAUGUUGACUUCUAAGGGAAUAUUGAUGAGGGCACUGGGGAUUGAACCCAGGGGCGCUUUGACACUGAGUCAUAUCCCUAGCCCUUUUAAUUUUAUUUGAAAAAGUAUUAUUAUUGUUAUUGUUGUUGUUAUUACUAUUAUUGUUACUGGGAGUUGAACCCAGGGGUGUUUACCACUGACCUAUAUACCCAUAUUUUUUUUCUUUUUUCUUUGGAGGGAGGGUCUUGCUAAAUUUCUGAGUCUGGCCUCAAAUUUGUAAUUCUCCUAUUUCAGCCCACCCAGUGGCUGAGAUUAUAAGUGUGUGCCACCUCACACAACCCAACUUCUAGAAUUACUAUUCUCAUGUGAACAGUUGUUUUGUGCUGUGGGUAUGACAACUGUAUUUUAUUUAUAUAUUUUUAAUUUUUAAAUAUUUUUGUUACUGGAAAUUGAAUCCAGAGGCACUUUUACCACUGAGCCUUUGUUUUUAGCUUUUAUUUUGAGACUGGUUCUCUCUAAAUUGCGCAGGACCUCCAUAGCUGAGACUGGCCUUGAACUUGCGAUCCUCCUGCCUCAGCCUCUGAAGUUGCUGAGACUGUAGCCAUGUGCCACUGUUUCUGGCUCUUUUUUAUUUUUUUGGAGUGGGUUUGGGACUUGAUUUUGGAUAAGAAAUUUGAAGACCUAACCAGGAUUGAAUGUUCUGACAUAUGUAGCUAUUUGAGGAAUUUCUAGUUGGUUUAAGCUAUAAAUGUUUAUGGAAUAUGAUUCCAGAAAAAAAGAAAAGAAAAAAAAAACAGAUUUAUUUAGUAGGAAAAGAUGUAGUCUUAGAGACCACCAUUUUGAUUUCAGCAUAAUGUUAGCUGACAUUACGGAUUUUUUUCGUUUCUUUUUGAGUCAGGGUCUUGCCUUAUUUCCCAGGCUGGCUUCAAACUCCUGGGCUCAAUUGAUCCUCCUGCCUCAGCCUCCCAAGUAACUGGAACUAGAGGUGUGACCACCACAUUCAGCAAGAAUACUUUCCUUUAGCCUAGAACCUUCCCGGGCAAUGCCAAGCUUGUGAGAAGCAUUAUGUUUCAGAGAAUGAGGGCUUUGUCGACAUACACACCUGGGUUCAAAUCCAGGUCUUUCCCAGCUGUAUAACCAUGGACAAAUUGCUCCACCUCCUCCUCUUGGUUUCCUCAUGUCUGCAAUAGGAAUGCUAUUAUCCACUCUAAAGAUUGGGUAAUUGUUAAGCACAAUGUGGUUUUAGUGCUUGUCAAAUAGGCACUCAGGGCACAUCACCCCUUUUGAAAGGGACCUGGGGAAGGGAAUUGUAUACAUGAUCAACAGCCUGUGUAGUAGGAGGUAAAGCAAUGCAAUUGGGUCCUCUACGCAAGGGCAGGACAUCCCUUGCCCCCACCCCUUCCCUGGGUACUAAGCAUUGAACCCAGGGGCACUUAACCACUGAGCCACAUCCCCAGCCCUUUUCAUAUUUUAUUUUGAGACAGGGUCUCGCUGAGUUGGUUAGGACCUUCCUAAAUUGCUGAGGCUGGCCUUGAAUUUGAGAUCCUCCUGCCUCAGCCUCCCUAGUCGCAGGGAUUAUAGGCCUGCAUCACCAUGCCUGGCAAAGUCAAGAAAUUCUAAAACCAUUUCCUUUGCUCACAUACACCUAUAGCUAAUAUAAUAUAGCUAAUGUCUCUCACGUACUGGAAGUUGAGCUCAAUAUGGAAGAACUUCUACCUGUUUCAAUGUUUUAUCCCCAAGAUCUGAAACAUAGUUCAUUAGAUGCCUUAGAGUGAAUGAAUAAAUAAACAAGUGAAUGGAUUAAUCUUACCUGAUAAAGCAGAGAAACUCACUGCUAUGUAACUAAAAAUAUAUCAGUCUCUGCUCUUCACCUCCUUUUCUUGAGUGUGCUUCCUUUGAUAUAAAGUGGUGUGUUUGUCAGCUGUUCUCAUAGUUAUGUUAACAAUUAUCCUGAAGGUCAGUGCUUCAAACAACAAUCCUUUAUUUUCAUGCACACAGGUCUAUAGAUGGAGUGCAACUUGGACUGAACUAGGCUGGCCCUUGAUCCUGAGCUCCAAACUUCAGGUAGAAUCCAGCUGUGAUGCAUGUAUCUCAUUAUCCUUGCAACAGGGGCAUGCGAUUUGUUCCCCGGGUCUCAUUCUGUGCCCAAGGUGAAGGGAAUGGGCGUGUGGGUGUUGGCAUCAUCUCUCUAAGCUGGGCUGACUUUUGGGUUUUCCCAUAAGCUGCAGCAUGAGUAGUCAUCCUCCUCACAAUCACAGUGGGUGGAUUUGGGACCUGCUAGACAGGCAAAUACCCAGACUUCACAUUCCCCUCCCAAAGUUAAGCUCAAUCUCCCAGAGGCAGCAAGCUACGAGGAAUAAGAAAGCUGUAUUUGUGUCUGUUAAUGGAUACUGUCUUUAACUCCUAAACUUUCUGGAAGGGACUUAAGUAACUUCUUGGCCAAGAUCUCUUGUUCCCAGUUUUCAUGGAGAUAAAAGCAAGAUAUAGUAUAUUCCUCAAGUUAAACAUGUAUAACUAAUCAUGGAAGGAUGACAGAAAAAUACAAAAAUUCAGUGUGACUACAACAAACCUUUGUGAUUCUUCAGUCUUCAUCCAUAUCCCAACCUCUCCUUUCACCCAUACUCCUGUGGCUUACCACAGAUGUCUACAGGUGAAACCAUCAGACAGGAGAUCCUGUGACCUAUCUCUGUACCCCGACCUACUGUCUUAUAUACAUGCCCACCCACCUUUGCUUUCUUCUAUCCUCCUGGCCAAGACAAAUCCUGAUGUCUCUGCCACAAUCUCAUUCAAAUUUCCAAUGUGCCAAAUCACCCCCUUUCUCCGUUUCAUCCUCAAUUACUUCCUUACCAAAUGCCUUUUGUCUGAUGGCCAUUUGAGUCUCUUUCAUCUUAAAAAGCAAAAUGUGUCUUGGUUGACUUUGUAUUUCUCUCUAGAUUCUGCUACAUAUAGUUGUCUAUGAAAUCUAACUUUAAAAAAGGAAAAGAGACUCCUGUAGGAAAUGGUGGUCCUUGGGAGACAAAGCUAGUUAAGGUAGGGAAUGUCAGAUGGUAAUGUGAUAUGAAUGAGCUAAAUGUUAAUUGUUGAGUGAUAAAGGAGACAAGAAACAAAGAAUUAAAUCUAAGAAAUGAGUUCAGGAAGGUUGCUGGUCAAUGCAUAAAAAUCAAAAGUAUUUGACUAAUGUUAUAACGGGGAUCUGAGGUGUCCCCCUAAAUUUUCUGUUAAUGCAGGAAUAGUCAGAGGUAGAAUGAUUAGAUUAUGAAAGCUGUGAUGACCUCAUCAGUCCAUCCUAGUUUGAAUGGACUGACUGGGUGGUAACUGCGGUCAGGUGGGUCGUGGCUGGAGGAGGGGCUCCCUGGGGCAUGCCUUGGAAGGGUUCAGCGUCUCUGUGGCUCCUUCCCCUUCCUCUCUCUCUUUCUCUGCUUCCUGACUCCACCAUGAGCUGAGCAUCUUUCCUUGGCCUCCCCCCAUGAUGUGCUGCCUCACUUUAGGCCCAGAGCAAUGGAGUCUGCCAUCUGUGGACUGAAGCCUCUGAAACCAUGAGCCUCAAAUAAACUGUUGCUCCUCUAAGUUGUUCUUGGUGAUUAUUUUGGUCAUAGUGGUGCAAAUACUGACUAAAACAACUACGUUGCCAGGCAUAGUGGCCCCAUGCCUGUAAUCCCAAUGGCUUGGGAGGGUGAAGCAGGAGGAGUACAAGUUUAAAGCCAGCCUCAGCAACUUAGCAAACCCUUAAGCAAUUUAGCGAGACUCUGUCUCAAAAUAAAAAAUAAAAAAAAAGGAUGGGGAUGGGGCUUAGUAGUUAAGUGCCCCUGGGUUCAAUUCCCAAUACCAAAACAAGAACUAUACAAUUAUGUUAGCAAUAAUCCACUUUAGAAUGCAAUUAAAAAUACAUGAGAACAUUCAAAAUAAUCAUCAAAAAACCAUAAAAUAGGCU
RNAcentral lists this long non-coding RNA (4087 nucleotides) under Marmota monax (woodchuck). The record is from RNAcentral. Lineage: Eukaryota; Metazoa; Chordata; Mammalia; Rodentia; Sciuridae.